This 705-nucleotide unclassified non-coding RNA is filed under the name Hevea brasiliensis (rubber tree). The record is from RNAcentral. Lineage: Eukaryota; Viridiplantae; Streptophyta; Magnoliopsida; Malpighiales; Euphorbiaceae.
GAGAAAUAUUAUUAUAAAAAAAAAUUUAAAAUAAUUAUUGACUAAUAUUUCCAAUCAAAUCCAAAUUAGCUUUCAUAGUCCAAACCAGACAAUAAGAACCAAACCAAAGCCAAAGAGGAGGAAACACUAAUUUGUCAAAAAGAAGCAUGGAAGAAAACAGAGGAAAAAACAGAGAAGUAAGGAAGCUUAUAACAAUGGAGCUGCAAAGUGCAUCAUCGUAAAAGGGCAGAAACCAAACUCAGUGGAUCUUUUUCUUCUGAAGUGAAUAAGGGUGGAAACACGAAGGAAGAGUCUUCACAAUUGUCUUGAGAACGUCCUUCAUGGUACCCAGAAAUGCAACAUACAAAUGAACUUCAGCAGCGCAAAUGCUAAUUAAGAAGGGAAGAAAUGCCGCGAAAGAAAUGGAACUUGUUGUCCAUUUCUUAUCCAAACAAAGAGUGAGCCAAAUCAUGGUGCCAAAUGCAAACAAAGUCGUCACCAUUGAAAAGAAGAACAAUGUGAAUCCUACAGUAAGUUUCCAAGGGAGAUAAUAAGAGCGAUGGAAUUCUUCAAGAUCAAAAGGGGAUGUUGUUGGGAUUAUAUAUCGUAUGGGAAUAUUGAAUUGGCUAAUCAUUUUAACUCAAUUACUUCUAUCAGCUUAUAUUAAAAUGAAGCUUCUAUAAGCCCCAUAAACAACUCAAUCACUUAUGUCCCUCUCCACCUUUG